GUAAUGUGUCUGAGUGUAUAACAGAGCUCCACGGCAAUCAUACUCCCAGUAAUGUGUCUGAGUGUAUAACAGAGCCCCACGGCAAUAAUACUCCCAGUAAUGUGUCUGACUGUAUAACAAAGCUCCACAGCAAUAAUACUCCCAGUAAUGUGUCUGAGUGUAUAACAGAGCUCCACAGCAAUAAUACUCCCAGUAAUGUGUAGGAGUGUAUAACAGAGCUCCACAGCAAUAAUACUCCCAGUAAUGUGUCUGAGUGUAUAACAGAGCUCCACAGCAAUAAUACUCCCAGUAAUGCGUCU
Pelobates cultripes (western spadefoot toad) is the source of this 299-nucleotide non-coding RNA. The record is from the annotation of a GenBank genome assembly. Lineage: Eukaryota; Metazoa; Chordata; Amphibia; Anura; Pelobatidae.